GUUGUAAACUGCUUUUGUACGGAACGAAAAGCCUCUUUCUAAUAAAGAGGGGUCAUGACGGUACCGUAAGAAUAAGCACCGGCUAACUACGUGCCAGCAGCCGCGGUAAUACGUAGGGUGCAAGCGUUAAUCGGAAUUACUGGGCGUAAAGCGUGCGCAGGCGGUUUUGUAAGACAGAGGUGAAAUCCCCGGGCUCAACCUGGGAACUGCCUUCGUGACUGCAAGGCUGGAGUGGGGGAGGGGGGGGGAAAAUUCCGUGUGUAGCAGAAAAAUGUGUAGAUAGGGGGGGGCACCCGGGGGGAGAGGGCCAUCCCGGGGCCCUACAGAGACGCUCGCGCAAAAAAGCGGGGAGAGCAAACAAGAUUAGAUCCCGGUAGACUCCACCCCAAAAAAGAUGUCA
Molecule: ribosomal RNA, 400 nt
Filed under: uncultured bacterium
Lineage: Bacteria
Description: partial 16S ribosomal RNA
Rfam family: Bacterial small subunit ribosomal RNA
Source: RNAcentral